GAUGAACGCUGGCGGCGUGCCUAAUACAUGCAAGUCGAGCGAACAGAUGAGGAGCUUGCUCCUCUGACGUUAGCGGCGGACGGGUGAGUAACACGUGGAUAACCUACCUAUAAGACUGGGAUAACUUCGGGAAACCGGAGCUAAUACCGGAUAAUAUAUUGAACCGCAUGGUUCAAUAGUGAAAGACGGUUUUGCUGUCACUUAUAGAUGGAUCCGCGCCGCACUAGCUAGUUGGUAAGGUAACGGCUUACCAAGGCAACGAUGCGUAGCCGACCUGAGAGGGUGAUCGGCCACACUGGAACUGAGACACGGUCCAGACUCCUACGGGAGGCAGCAGUAGGGAAUCUUCCGCAAUGGGCGAAAGCCUGACGGAGCAACGCCGCGUGAGUGAUGAAGGUCUUCGGAUCGUAAAACUCUGUUAUUAGGGAAGAACAAAUGUGUAAGUAACUAUGCACGUCUUGACGGUACCUAAUCAGAAAGCCACGGCUAACUACGUG
RNAcentral lists this ribosomal RNA (497 nucleotides) under uncultured bacterium. RNAcentral's name for it is "partial 16S ribosomal RNA". It matches the Rfam family "Bacterial small subunit ribosomal RNA", at positions 28 to 507 of the family's 1533-position model. The record is from RNAcentral.